Molecule: long non-coding RNA, 4410 nt
Filed under: Homo sapiens (human)
Lineage: Eukaryota; Metazoa; Chordata; Mammalia; Primates; Hominidae
Description: non-protein coding lnc-ZNF124-1:2
Source: RNAcentral
CGCUAAUGUGUUUGGUAUAAUUUCAUAUAUUAGCUUUUUAAAUUAUAUUCAUCUAAGUCCAGUAAGUUGGAUAAUAUGUUAUUUUAAUUUUUUUCAGCUGUUUCUUCUCAUUUCACCCAAGACCUCUUGCCAGAGCAUGGUAUAAAAGAUUCAUUUCAAAAAGUGAUACUGAGAAGAUAUGGAAGCUAUGGCAUUGAGAAUUUACAAUUAAAGAAAGAUUGGGAAAGUGUGGGUGAAUCUAAGGUGCAGAAAGAAUGUUGUAAUGGACUUAACCAAUCUUUAUCAACUACACAUACCAAAAUCUUUCAAUUUAAUAAAUGUGUGAAAGUCUUUAGUAAAUCGUCAAAUCUAAAUAGACAUAAGAUAAGACAUACUGGAGAGAUAUCUUCCAACUGUAAAGAAUGUGACAAUUCCUUUUACAUAUCCUCAGUUCUAACUCCACUUCAGAGAAUCCACACUGCAGAGAAAUCCUACAAGUGUAAACAAUGUGGGAAAGCCUUUAGGCACUGCUCAUGCUUUCUUGAACAUGAGACAAUUCAUAAUGAAGAGAAACAUUACAAAUGUAAAGAAUGUGGAAAAGUCUUUAAAUCCUUCACAAGCCUUUCUAAUCACAUUAUAAUUCAUACUGGAAAGAAACUCUAUAAAUGUGAAGAAUGUGGCAAAGCUUUUAACCACAGUUCAAACCAUGCCAAACAUAAGAAAAUUCACACUGGACAGAAACCCCAUAAAUGUGAAGAAUGUGGCAAAGCCUUUAACUGGUUCUCAUACCUAACUCUACAUAAAAGAAUUCAUACUGGAGAGAAACCCUACAAAUGUGAUGAAUGUGGCAAAGCUUUUAACCAGUGUUCAAACCUCACUAAACAUAAGAGAAUUCAUACUGGAGAGAAACCCUACAAAUGUGAAGAAUGUGGCAAAGCUUUUAACCGGUGCUCACACCUUACUGAACAUAAAAGAAUUCAUACUGGAGAGAAGCCCUAUAAAUGUGAAGAAUGUGGUAAAGUCUUUAUAUCUUGUUCAAGCCUUUCAAACCAUAAGAGAAUUCAUACAAGAGAGAAAUGCUACAAAUCUGAAGAAUGUGGCAAAACCUUUAACCACUGCUCAGACCUCAAUGUACCUGAGAAAAUUCAUACCUGAGAAAAAUCCUACAAAUGUAAAAAAUGUGGCAAAGCCUUUAAUACCUGCUCAUGUCUUACUCAGGACCAGAGUUCAUAUUGAACUAAAGAAUUAUAAAUAUAAUGACUGUCACAACACCUUUCACAGAAAAAAAUAAUUUUACCACAGAUUAAUUUGUUCAUUAAUGGAACUUUAAUUCUGUGGUUUUUUUUUUUUUUUUUUGGUCUACAUAAAUCUGUCCUUAUGCCAGUACUAUAUUGUUUAAUUACUGUAACAUUGUAGUAAGAAUUUAUAUCAGGAGUGUAAGUUACUGAAUUUUGUUAUUUUUCAGAAUUCUUGUGUGUUUGAUUUUCUUUAUAUGUUUAUAUGGAUUUUAGGAAGAGCUUGUCAAUUUAUAUUAAAGAAAAGCUACAUUGGAAUUUGCAUUGAAUCUGUAGAUAAAUUUGUUGGGUAUUUUGAUCUUCAUAUUCAGUAUUGCUAUAUUUGAAUAUUGAGUAUAUCUCAGUUUAUUCAGCUCUUUGAUUUCUUUCAGCAUUUUAAAUAAUUUUCAGUGUAUAGUAUGUGCAGUUAUUUUGUUAAGUUCAUUUCUAAUUUUUUUUUCUAGGAUACUAUUAAUGAAAUUUUAAUUUAAUUCUUAUUUUGUUUAUUCCUAUAAUAUAAAAGUACUAUCUAACCUUGUAUGUUGAUCUUGUGGCAUUGAUGAACUUCUAUAUUAGCUCAAGUAGGUUUUUAUUUAUUUAUUACUUUAUUUUAUUUUAUUUUAUUAUUAUUUUUUUUUGAGACAGAGUCUCACUCUGUCACCCAGGCUGGAGUGCAGUGGCCGGAUCUCGGCUCACUACAAGCUCUGCCUCCUGGGUUCACGCCAUUCUCCUGCCUCAACCUCCCGAGUAGCUGGGACUACAGGCGCCUGCCACUGUGCCCGGCUAAUUUUUUGUAUUUUUAGUAGAGACAGGGUUUCACCAUAUUAGCCAGGAUGGUCUCGAUCUCCUGACCUUGUUAUCUGCCCGCCUCGACCUCCCAAAGUGCUGGGAUUACAGGCGUGAGUCACCAUGCCCAGCCUCAAGUAGGUUUUUAAUGAAUUUCUUAUACUUUUAAAAUACAACAUUAUGGCAAUAAAAGACUAUUCCACUUCUUUUCUAAUCUGGAGAUUGUAUUGAUUUUUCUAGUGUAAUUUUCUGGCUCAUACCUCCAGUACAAUGGUGAAUAGUGGUAUAAGUAGAAAUUCUCGUCCUGUUUUCAAACUUGCAGAUAAAGCCCCUAGUCAUUCACCAUUAAGUAUAUUAGCUUUUGGUGUGGAGUUUUUCAUCUUGGCUCACUGCAGCCUCAACCUCUUAAGCUCAAGUGAUCCUCCCACCUUAACUGCCUGAGUAGUUGGGACAAUAGGCAUGCACCACCAUGCCCAGAUAAUUUUUUUUUUAAUAUUUUGUAAAGAUGGGGAUUCCCUAUAUUGUCCAGAAUGGUCUUGAACUCCUGGCUUUAUGCAGUCUUUCCACCUCAGCCUCCCAAAGUUCUGGGUUACAGGUGUGAGCCACUGCGCCGGGCCAAUUUUGGUUUUUCAUGGAGGACUUUUAGCAGGUCUCAAAAGUUUUCUUCUAAUAGUUUUCUUGGUGUUCUAUCAUUCAUAGGUGUUGAAUUUACCAAACUUUUUCUAUUUCAAGUAUUACAUUUUUACUUUGUUCAAGUAAUAUUGUAUCAUAUUAAAUGAACAUUGCAUUGUGAAAAUACCCUGCUUAGUCAUGGUAUGUAAUCAUCCUUAUACCUUUUUGUAUUCUUUUUUUAAAUAUUUCUGAGAAUUUCUGUGUCUAAAUUUAAAUAGGAUGUUGUUUCGUAAUCAUCUUGUGAUUCUUUUGUCUCCUUUGGGUAUUAUUGGCUAAUAGAUGAAUUAAGAAAUGUUACCUCUUCUACUGCUUGAAGUUUUUGUGAGAAAUUGAUGUUUUUCAUUAAGUGUUGAUGAAAUGUACAACUUAAGCAGUUUAUAACAGCUAUUCUAUCUAAAAAGAUAUAAUUUUUUUGUUCUAUGGAUAUAAGUAUAUUCUAUUAUAUAUAUAAUGAAACAAUUCAUAGGAUGUUUUUUCAGUUUACUUUUGUAAUCCAUCUCUAUCGGUAUUUUUUAUUUCAUAGUAUGUCAUGAACAAUUAUUCUAGGCACUUGACAUGGAAUAAUUUGAAAAAAUAGAGAAUGAGUCCCGUACUACAAUCAAUAAAUAACUCAAAAUUUUUUCCAUUUUUAGGAUGAAGAAUAUGAAUAUAGUUCUGUUACGUAAUAUUUGUGUUUACUGUGUGAGACAAAUGAGUUACUGAAUGUAAAAAUAAUUAGUAAAACUGCCCUUUGAUUUUGGAAUGUAUGAAGCAGGCAAAUGCCCCUACCUUCUAUUUUUAUCAAUAUUUAGAUAAGGCAGACAAAUAAAUUUUAAUAAGAUAUACAGAAUAAUCUUGUAUUUGAAGAAUGCUAUGAAAAAAGAUAGUUUGGAGGAGUAGUUAGUAUUUGGCUCAUAUAAUGUGUUAGGUAACUAUUCUAAGCCAUUAAACAUUUGUAUGCUUAAUACCUAAGAGUUUAAAGUGAAGAAAUCAAAGAUUCAUUGAAAAAGAAAAAUUAAAUUUUAAAAAAAUUCUAUUUUUAAUUGAAAAAUAAUAGUUGUAUAUAUCUGUCUACAGUGUAAUAUUUUGAUAUAUGUUUAUGUUGUAAAAUGAUUAAAUCAAGUUAAUGUUUAUAACCUCAUAUAAUUUUUGUGGUGAAAACAUGGAAAAUAGUCUUUAUAGCAGUUUUGAAAUACACAUUGUAGUCACCAUUCUGUGCAAUUGAUCACUAAAUCUUAUUUCUCCUAAGUGAAACUUGGUACACUUUGAAGAACAUUUCCCCUCUUUUUAUUCACCCCAUCUCCUAGCCUCUGUCACAUUUUCAUUCAUACUAGGUAACAUUAAGAUCAUUAUGGAAAUUAACUUUUUGGUGCCCCACAACUAAAUGAACAUAAAUAAUGUUAACUUUGUUAGGAAGUUAUAGUAAUUACGCAUAGGAACAAACGGCAGCUAUUUUUGCCAGUAAACAAAGGAUGCGCAUUAUUUUCAAAUAUUAGAUAUAAGUAUUUUAGGUGGUAAAGUCUUAGGCCUAAAAUACGUCAUUGAGUUUAUUACCCCAGAAACCCAGCAGGUCAUAUUUUCUGAACAUUGUAAAUAACAAUAGAAAUUAUAUACUAAAAUGUUACCAGCAAGUACUAUCUCACCACAUGAAAAUUGCAUUGAAAUUUUUUAAUCUGUGGUUCAAAUGGAAGACUCAAAGAGAUUCUUUUAUGGAUUCAGG